GGACCCGCACAAGCGGUGGAUGAUGUGGAUUAAUUCGAUGCAACGCGAAAAACCUUACCUACCCUUGACAUGUCAGGAAUUUUGCAGAGAUGCGAAAGUGCUCGAAAGAGAACCUGAACACAGGUGCUGCAUGGCUGUCGUCAGCUCGUGUCGUGAGAUGUUGGGUUAAGUCCCGCAACGAGCGCAACCCUUGUCAUUAGUUGCUACGCAAGGGCACUCUAAUGAGACUGCCGGUGACAAACCGGAGGAAGGUGGGGACGACGUCAAGUCCUCAUGGCCCUUAUGGGUAGGGCUUCACACGUCAUACAAUGGUUGGUACAGAGGGUUGCGAACCCGCGAGGGGGAGCUAAUCCCAAAAACCAAUCGUAGUCCGGAUUGGAGUCUGCAACUCGACUCCAUGAAGUCGGAAUCGCUAGUAAUCC
RNAcentral lists this ribosomal RNA (422 nucleotides) under uncultured bacterium. RNAcentral describes it as "bacterial SSU rRNA". It matches the Rfam family "Bacterial small subunit ribosomal RNA", at positions 917 to 1344 of the family's 1533-position model. The record is from RNAcentral.